This 9132-nucleotide long non-coding RNA is filed under the name Nicotiana benthamiana. RNAcentral describes it as "long non-coding RNA (NBEN_LNC033844)". The record is from RNAcentral. Lineage: Eukaryota; Viridiplantae; Streptophyta; Magnoliopsida; Solanales; Solanaceae.
AAUUAGAGACCUUACCCUGACCAAAAGAAAACGGCGCUCCUCAUUCCCUUUCGAUCACCUCCUCCAAAGGGGCCCCUCCCAAAUCAGACCUCGACUUUUAGAGAAAGUAGUGAACGGCGUCCUUAGGUCAUCUUCUUCAAGCUUCGUUUAUCUAAAAACCAACAGCCAUGGCCUCACCCUCCUCACCACCAAAUCCUUCAGCAUACACUACUUAAAUCCCUCUCUUCAUCCAUCACUUCCUCACAGCCACUAGAUUGCCGGAAAUCUGGCAUUCAUCAACUCCCCCUUUCUUUUCGACUUUUGUUAAUCUCAUCCCUAACCUUGGAAAAACUGAAAACAAAGACACGACAAGCUUGGAGACCAAAAAUGAUAGGAAAAACCGAAUUUCAAAUAAGAUCUGAAAGGGAUUUUGGUCGCCAAAAUGUUAAAAUUUGACUUCCUCUUUUCUCUGGGCUCGUAUGAAGCUGUAAAUAGAAUGUGUGUUGCUGAACUUGUUGUUCCAAAAUUUAUAAAGUUCUAUUCAUCUUCAUCGCUAUCUUUACUUGGUUAGUUGGGAAUGUAUAUCUGCUGCUAAGGUACUGUCUCCCACUCUCAUUCUUGUAAUGCUCCUUUUGAUUUAAUAAAAAUAUGCUUACAAUGAUGAGGCAAUGUAUAAUUAUAUAUUUCCUUGUUACAUUCAGCAGUUUUUUUUGUGUCAAUAGUUCUUCAUUACAUAUUUGGUCUGUUGGAAUUUGUUGCUACUCUUGAUAUUGUACGAAUUGUUCAACUUGAUUUUGAUUUUGGAGUAAGGAUUGUAGUGUGAAAUAAAAUGGUGUCUUUCUUUAGGGAAUGGUUGGUGGUUUAAUCUGAAUAAUAUAUGUCUAGUCAAAUUAUGCAACAGUGGAAUGUAAAUGUCUUAUGCCAUUUGAUGUUAAAGAUCCAUUCGAAGCAAGAUAUGGAAAAUGUUCAGGUUCUUGAGGAGUGUUUAGGUAUAUUUUUAAGCAUUAGGUGUGAAAAACUUCAAGCAACUGGCAAUUGUAGUUCUUUAUAAGGCAUUCAAAAGAAAACACAUGCUCGUAAUUGUAGUUCUUUAAGGUAAAAUUUGAUAUUUUAAAAUUUAAAUUGGAUGCAUGUCAAUAUAAUUUAUGUAUAAAAUGAGAUAGGUGCAUUGAGUUGGCAUGAUUUAGAAGUAGGUUGUGGCAUUUACUAACUGGUAUGGGAAAGAUAAAUUGACACUAGUUCUGUCGGCAUGUGUCCAUAAUAUUUUAUUUAUUCCGCUUGUGUCUCCAUAAGCAAAUAGAGGCUAUAAAUGUAGAAUUGAAUUUAAUUUCCUGCUAAGAACUUUAGUUUCCAUGUCGUUACAAUUGAUAUUUGAUAGUAAUGGCCAGCCUUUCGAGUGUUUGUAUGACUCUAAUUGUGUGAAUUUAAUCGCGCUAGUCACCUGUUUCUUUCUUUUUCUUUUGGAACUCUUUUUUGGUGACUUCUAUAUCUCAUGACUUUACAGUAAUCUCAAAAUUAGUUUUAGGAGAAUUACAAAUUAUCGUAGUUUGUUUUAGUUGAGCAAAGCCCUUUAAAAUAAUCCGAGACGUACCAUGCCAAAUAAAAUUUUAAAAUUCAUGGCCCUCAUUUAAUUAAUUUUAACUCUUUAGAAAUCGAUGUGUGCCAUUAGUUGAAUUUUUCAUGGCCUUCGCAAAGUUAAAGCACAUAGUUGCUUUAAGUGCGUAUUUUAAAAUUUUAUCUUCCUAUGCAUUUCAUGUGACCCAAAUCCAAAUCUUAAUAACGUUGAAUAAAAUAUUUUUCGGAUUGUGGGUGAAUUUCAUGUGGCGCGGUCCAAAGACAGGUUUUAGACAAUGUUAAAUCUUCUUUAAAAUAAAUAGAAACGGUUUGAAAGUUAAAAUAUUCCAUAGGCUAAAACAUGUAUUAAAAUCAGAUAAUAGGCUAAUUAUGAUAGUUUAAGCAACCAUGCUACAACCACGGAAUCCGGGGGUGCAUAACAACUUCCCUUGGGUUAAUUGAAUUCCUUAUUAAGAAUUUCUGGUUCGCAGAUUUCAAAAGAAAAGUCGAAUUUUCCUCGAUUUGGGAUUUUGAAAUAAACCGGUGACUUGGAACACCAGAAAACAAACCAUCCCAAGUGGCGACUCUUAAUAAAAAUGAAUAAAUAAUCUCAUUUCGAAUAAUGUCACUUAAAUUAAAAAAACUAUCUUAUAUCACCUUCGGGUGUGUAAAAAGGAGGUGUGACAGUCGACUUGGAGGCGCAAUUUCGAGAGGUCCUUUAGAUGAAAGAAGUCGAUACAAUAAGGUGGAGGAAACCCAUGGACAAUCUUGCCUCUGAGAAGGAAACUCUAAGUGAUCAGUUGGCUUCGCUCAAAUACCAGCUUCGAGGUGUGAAAGAGGAGAGCCUAGCUCGGUGCCUUGAAAUCGAGAAGCUUAAAGCUAGAUCUGCCGCAGAGUUAGUCAAGGCCAAAUCUGAUGUUGUGGCAAUUAUGACUUCGUAUCGAGCCGAUGCCGAAGCUGCUAAUGCUCGGCAAGGGAGAUUUCUUAUACGGCGGAGGCUAAGUUAUCAAGUUUCCUUGACAAUGCUAGGCCUCAAUCCCGGAGGAACCCUCAAAGAGAUACAUGCUCGUGACUUCGAUCUUUCAGCUGAUUUUGAAGCGGAUAAGAUUUUGGAAGAAGAUGCAGCCACUCUUCUUUUUGAUAAAGAUGAUCAAGCUAGUGUUUUUAAGAGUGAAAGAGACUAGGAUGAAGUCCCCGAGGAUGAGGCUCUCCAAGAUGGGACUCCUGAAAUGCAGCUGCUAAGGAUGUGACCCCGAAGUAGUUUUAGGUUACUUUUUUUUUGUUUUCUUGUAAGCCUCCCUUGUGUAAAUAUUUCAUGUAAUCAUCUUUUAGAAAUACGAGGGGAACUUUUUAUCUCGUCUUUGGUUAAUACUGGAUUUUAACUUUGUCUUUAUUUAUGGAAAACUUUGUUUGAAUGAUUAGUUCGAGGAUCAGUUUGUGGUUCAAGUUACAAACCCUUAGAUCUUUAUCGACAUAUAUAAUAGUUUUUGAGAGUUUAAAUCGAUCCAUUGUGAGCUUGAGAUAUUAUGAACCGCGAGUCCAGAUCGAAAUGAAAGCGGAGUCUCGAACUAUAAGUUUUUGGACCAUAAGCCUUUCGAGAUUGGCCCUUAGGCUCUUAUAUAUCAGCCCUUAAGCUAUUUUAAGUUGGCCCUUAGGCUCUUUUAAAAUUGGCCCUUAGGCUCUUUAUAUUGGGCCGUUUCGGCCUCUGAAAUAGCUAUGUAAUUUCCCCUUAUUUCGGCUAAAAGACUUAGUGAAAUUUUAGUUAUGCGUUAGCAUAUGUUUUUGAACCUGUUUGUUUUUCUAAGGCUCGGCGUUACCAAAGGCUUUAGAUAAUUCGAGGGCUAAUUUAUCGAAGUCAUUAGAAUUUUUGGGGUCUGAAUUUAUCGAAGCCCUUUUUUGAUACCCAAUUUUUCCCUGUAAAUUUUUUAUAUGCAAAAUACUUUCCAAAAUAAAACAUAUGUGCAUACAUAAGUAUGCCCAAGCGUUUUAGUAUUUUUCCUCAUUUUUAAGAGAUUUGUAAAUUAAUUCAUUGUACAAAAUAAAAAAUUAUCCCCAAGUUUUCAUUUUGGUGAUUAAUUUAUUUUAUUCUCAUAUUUAAAUCAAAAUAUAGUCAAGGUAAUUUUUAUAUUACAAUGUAUUUGGCAAUUAAAGCUAAAUUGCAUGUAAUUACAAUUUUAGCCUAUUUUAAGAUUAACAGUAUUUUAUAAUUAUAAAUUAUUUCCAAUAUUUCUUAAUUAACAUUUCGCGUUAUUAACUAACUCAGUACUUUUAAUUUGCUUUUAAAAUUAUUUUACUAUUUUUAUAAAAUAAAAAGGAAAAAGUGGGUAUUUAAAUACCAUCCCUAUUUUAUUUCACUUUUAGCCAAAUUAAGCCCCCCAUUUAACCCCAAUUUAAAUUUCAAAAUGGACCGACCCAAUUCCUAAACUACCCGCCCCUAAUCCAAUUAAAUACAACCCGACCGAGACCCAUUCUAUCCUGGCCGUUGAUCUCUAAGACAACGACCCCUAUUCAUUUCUACCUUUUUAAACCCAAACGACUAUCCUAAUCUCCUCAUUUCUCACCCACCAGCCGCCUCUGAUACCCUCCAUUUAUCUCAAACACUCUCGAACCUUCUUUAACCCUAGCCACCCCGCCCUAAAAUCCAUCUGAAUCUAUGGCCAUCAAAGCCAUAAGAGUCCUACACCUACCUCUUGGUGCUCUUACUUGUCUGAUACUUGAAGAUUCGGGUCCUGACUACGAAGGAUUGAACCCAGACCACCGUCGAUUCGAGGUCUCAGGGUCCUCUCCGGCUCUGUUCCGGCGUACCAUGGUCGUCUGAGCUUGUUUCUGACUUUUUUCGACUCAGAUCGGUGACCUUCAAAGCCUUUCUCAUUUCUAGGGUUUCUCCGAAAUUCUAAGCUAUUCGAAGUUUUUCUUUCUUUGUUUUCUUAGAUCUAUGAUAUAUUUGUGUUCUAUUGGAUGUUUAAGUUAUUUUCCCCAAUCUUUCUUUUAAAAAUUGCUUCUCUUCGAUUUAGGAUUUCUGAAAGAUUUUCACAACAUCUUUUUGAUUCUUCCUUUUUUUUUCCUUAUGUGUGUUCGGUUUAUAUUUUGCUCGUGUGUUUUCUUUUCUACCACGCAUGUGUUGUUCUUCUAUUUUCUUCUCUAUGUGACUCUUCUGUACCUUUGUACUCUACUAUGCAUCUAGAUUAGGCCCGCAUGUUUAUCUUUGUUAUGUUUUCCUACGUGUUCUUUUCUCUACUUUCCAGUAUUCUUAUACUGUACGUGUUUCCUGAUAAGUUCUUAAAUUUUGUUGCUUUACUGGAUUUUUGUUUGAGCUCUAAGCAUGCUUCCUUUACUGUUCCGUAAGUUUAUACCACUCUUCUCCUCUCUUCUAAACUUGCUUAAGUUUUGAGUUUUUCCUAAAAUGCUCUUUAUGCUUUUAAAUCAACCUUUCACUCUGUCACUUCAAACCUGCAAUCGUAUCUGUGUGUUUCCUUAUGAGGCUUUGAAACAGACCUCCGAGUCUGUUUCGAUGGCUUGCCUUCUCAUCUCUGUAUCUGAUUCAAGUUAAAACGCUAGGAUUUGGGGGUUUCUUUGGCAAGUUUGAUUUUGUGUUUGGAUUGGGGUCUACUUUGAAACCCUGAACUCUCAGACUCAUUCUAAGUCAAUAAAUUAGAUCUGAACCUUUUUGUGUCUUUUUCUAUGAUAGUCUUUUCUAAUCAACAUGAAGACUCCUUCUUGUUUGAUAUUUGUGUGCUUUAUAUAUGAGAAAUUCUUCUUUCAAAAAAGGUUUUACCAACUAUUAAUUGAUUUUGAAUCCCUUUUAUUAAGGUUUGACUGAUUGCUACUGUUUUUUCUUUGGUUGAACCUUCUUUACCUUUUCCUGACUUGGUUCAUUCGGUCAAAGCCUGCAAUUUUGAUUUUUACUAGCUGUUUGACUUAUUCCGAUUCCUUAUUUGUCACAAACCGUGUACCACUGAACUUUUGCCUUAAAUAAACCAUUGUGUAUUUGCCCUUAUUGUACUGCUUUGGAAAAGGUUUUGAUCAACUUUUUCCUUAAUUUCCUUUUACCCUUUUGAAAUUAGAAUCCCUUAAUUAAAGGGAGAUUGAUUUAAAUGCUAUUUUCUUACCUUUUCUUACUUGCUUUCUGCACUAUAAAAGGGCACGACCCUUCUGCACUUUGACAUACUUAGAAUUCAAUACUUUUACACACCUUUCAGUCCAAAUCUCUUUAAGACACUCUCAAUUAUUCUCACAUUUUCAUCUGAGUUUUUUCUGGCUGUUUUCUUGCAAUUUUGGCUUUACAAGACUUCUGCUUUUACUUAUCUGUUUCCCUGAAACUGGUAUGUUCUAGUUUAGUAUUAGCCAUCAUCCCAAUAUAUUUAUUUACAGCUUUUGCGAUCUUGUUUGCUUUACUGUCUAUGCUAAAUGAUUAAUAUUAACUAUGCCUUUUCUUGCAUCUAUUUCUAUUAUGAAUCCCUACCUAUAUUCCCUUCUAUGUGUUUGAGUUAAGGUUCUGGCAUGACGGUAUCCAAAUUGCUGAUCAUGUCUAAACCUGAUCCUUAAUGGAUCCUAACUCCCAAAUAAAUGUGGCUAACAGGCUGGUUAGGGGUGUGGCAGCACUCCUAAUUGCUAGGUAUGACCACCAACCUGCCAUGGCCUUCCCUAAAUCCCCUGUAUGCACUUGCACACUCUCUUAUAUUUUAAGUUCUGCCGCCUCUUAUGAGCCUCGCUUUGGGACCUUGAGUUCCCUUUGAACUUGGACAUUUGAGGCCUGGCUCUUCCACACUACACUAUAAUCAAUUCUACAAUGUAUUUGGUUGUAAGAAUUGCUCGGAAUCCACUUGAGGCUCUUGGGAACUUUGACACACCCAAAAAAUGAGAAAGGCUUUGAAAAUCUUGAUCUUCAUAGUUGGUUCAUCUCAUAUUUUAGACAUUGAGUCUGAAUUAGACUCCUUGGUUGUAGUUUAAUUUCUGAUGUGAUUUUACUUUUGGUAUGUAAUAAUUUGUAAUAACUUAUGAGCUUUUUGUAAAAAGGAGAGGGUCACACAUGUAUGCAUAGGGGUAGACAUCAUGUUCCUAGGUGUUCAUUCCUGCAAUCAUCUCUUGCUUUGCACUUCUUCAUCUCAUAUAAUGAUCAUGACUAUAAGGUCUUUUUGCACUUCUGCAUCUCAUAUAGAGAUCACGACUAUAAGGUUUUUUUUUUGCACUUUUGCAUCUCAUCUAGAAAUCAUGACUAUAGGGUUUUUCUACACUUCUGCAUACAGAAAUCAUGACUAUAGGGUUUUUUGCACUUCCGCAUAUAGAGAUCAUGACUAUAAGGUUUUUCUGCACUUAUGCAUAUAGAGAUCAUGGCUAUAGGGUUUUGUCUGCACUUCUGUAUGUCAUCUAUCACUAGGCAAAUGAUUUAUAGGCUCAAAUAACAAAUGGCACUCUAGAUACCAUGUCUAUUGGAUUCCUGCACUUUUAUAAAUGUUUUAAAAUCAAUCACGCUUAGAAAGCAUGCCUAUAGGAGUAACUAACUAAAUCUGAAUCGUCUAUCUCACUUACAAGCCUAAAACCAGUAGUAGUGUCGUUUAAUAUCCGCAAAACUUAUGUAUUUCUAUAAUCAGUAAGCCCUCUUUAAAAUCAGCAUACUCCUGCAUUAUUUGAUAUCAUGCCUAUAUGUGUCACCUAGGCAAGCCAUUAGUUAGUUUAUUAAUUGCAUGUCUCUGAUAAUUACAACCAGGGGUAUGCAUAAUUCAGACUUCUUAUAUGAGAAAUAUGUGAUAAACUAGCUUGCCUUAACACUUUAAAUUUAAUUCAGACCAUAACCAGUAUUUGUAAGUCAUACUAAAUAAUCUGCUUUUAAGUGAGAAGGCUUACCUGAGCCUUUUAAUUAUUCUGUGUUUCCGAUAAUUGCAUUACGUGUUUUGUUUGUCACCUCAGAAUUUUAUCCUUUUUUAAACCAUACUAAAUAUACAUUUUCCUCCCCUUUUUAGACUAGUAGUUCCAAAUUCCUCCGGGACUUAUAGGAUUGGGAUGGGUAAUAGCAUGUAAUAAGUAGCGAGACUAUUCCACGUAUAAUACCUUGACAGGGUGGGAAGGGUAGAUAUAGAUAUGAUAACCACACAAUAACACCACGUGUAUAAACGGUUACCGGGUGUUGUGUGGGGUGAUCAAUAUUAUUUAUAAACCUAGGACCCCCAUUUUCUUUUACUUAUCUAUAUUCUCAUAAUUUUAAAACUAUCUAAUUUUCAGCUACUUGAACCUCUUCUACUUUAAUUAACUUGCAUAAAUUAUGUGCAAACCCCUUCCCCUGUACUUGUGUGUUUUCUUUAGAAUUCUAAAAUGGCUUUUUUCCAAAUUUCAGCCUCUUUAACUUCUUGUAUUUCAGUUGUUUACAACCCUUAUGUGAAAGCUACCUUGUAUUUACAAUUCUUGUUUGCUUACUUGUUGUUUGUACUUAAAGUCAUAAUUAUAUCAUGGCCAGGAACCACACUAGUGGAUCUUGAGGGGCGCCUAACACCUUCCCCUCGAGAUAAUUUCUAGACCUUACCCAAUCGUUGGUUUUCUAAAUCAAAUUCAUUUUUAGUGUCCUAAUGUACUUAGUCAUUAUAUGGCGACUCUUUAACUCAGAAAAUUUACAAUUCUUGCAUGUUUACUUGUUGUUUGUACUUAAAGUCACAACUCUAGCAUGGCCGGGAACCACACUAGUGGAUCUUGAGGGGUGCCUAAUACCUUCCCCUUGAGAUAAUUUCUAGCACUUACCCAAUCUCUGAUUUUCUAAUUCAAAUUCAUUUUUAGUGUCCUAAUGCACUUAAUCAUUAGGUGGUGACUUUUCAAAAAUUGCAAAACCCAAUUCCCAAAAAGGGAACGAGUUGUCCUCCCAAGUGUCAUGAACCCGAUUUUGCGUGAAAAAUGGGGCAUCGACAGCGUGGCGACUCUGCUGGGGAUUCUUUAGGCUUUUACCAUUUCAUGUUGCUUGUGACUUUACUACUUCUUUGAUGCCUUACUUAAUGUCUUUAUCUCUUCUUCUACUACGAAACUGACUUGGCUCUUUGUUUCUUUUAUCUCUUUAACGCUUUCCUUUACUGCUUUCCUUCAAUAUUGUUGUAAAUUAUGAGAAACUGUUGUAAAUGUGAAAAUACGUGACCAUUUGUUCAAUUAUUGUAAUUGCAUCUUCAACAUCAUAUUCCACUCGUACCAAACAAAAUACCAUAGCAAUGCUUGUAAUGAGUGGUUACGCCCUUCCUAUAUCAUUACCCCCUAAAUUUGGCAAAGGCAUUUUUGCGGUAAAACCAGUCGAUCAAUAGGGUAAUCAACAGUUUCGUGCCUUUCUCUCUUGAGUUGUGCGCUCAAGGGUACCAAUCUAAUACCCCAUAGAAACCUUACUCUAUUCAACUGUGCAUGCAUAAUGGUCAAACCUAGCCGAGCCAGUUAUGUUGUCCGCAUAACGACUCUUUAAGAGUAGCCUUGUCCAAAGUCCACUUGGUUUCCUUGAAACCCAAACGGACACCACCAUGUUCUGUGCAUUUAUUUAGAGAACUAAAUGCUUCCAUGCUAAUUACAGGAAAUAAGGCACGAAAUCCCUAGAUUCGGUAUGGUCGCGAACAUCUACCCAAGGUUGCUAAACUGGUG